Molecule: ribosomal RNA, 254 nt
Filed under: uncultured bacterium
Lineage: Bacteria
Description: partial 16S ribosomal RNA
Rfam family: Bacterial small subunit ribosomal RNA
Source: RNAcentral
UACGUAGGGGGCAAGCGUUGUCCGGAAUCAUUGGGCGUAAAGAGCGUGUAGGCGGCCCGGUAAGUCCGCUGUGAAAGUCCAGGGCUCAACCCUGGGAUGCCGGUGGAUACUGUCGGGCUCGAGUCCGGAAGAGGAGUGUGGAAUUCCUGGUGUAGCGGUGAAAUGCGUAGAUAUCAGGAGGAACACCGGUGGCGAAAGGCGCCUAUCUGGCCCGAUACUGACGCUGAGGCGCGAAAGCUAGGGGAGCAAACGGG